This is an RNA transcript of Mustela lutreola (European mink), 1952 nucleotides long. It is a transcript of the gene named carbonic anhydrase 5B, mitochondrial-like, with no coding region annotated. The transcript has 7 exons. The record is from RefSeq and is a predicted model, not a curated record. NCBI's taxonomy places the organism in Eukaryota, Metazoa, Chordata, Mammalia, Carnivora, Mustelidae.
AACUUGGGCUGGGGCCAAGGGGACGUGGCGUAAUUAAGCGAGAUGACGUACCCGGCGUGAAAGGCGUGGCGAGACGUAAUGGGACGUAGCCAAAAUGGCCGCGCGCAUGAGUUUCUCCCCGGUACAGAGUGGAAGGGUCCGCGUUCUGGGAAACGUUCGGAUCUGGAGGGAAAGAACCCGCAAAACAUGAGCGUUUUGGUGGCUCUGAUUCUUUGUGGUUAUCAGGUUCUUGCAAGUCAUCCGGGGCCCGGUCCGGAUUCCAGGCUAAACAUGGUGGUGAUGAGUAGCCUGAGGGUCGUUCUUCAAGCCUCUCCAUGCAAGUUACUGUGGAGAAGAUUCCAGACCCCCAGGUUCGUGCCAGCGAGGCCCUGCAGCCUCUACACCUGCACAUACAAAAGCCGGAACCGAGCCCUGCACCCGCUGUGGGAGACCGUGGACCUGGUCCCGGGGGGCGAGCGCCAGUCGCCCAUCAACAUCCGCUGGAGGGACAGCGUCUAUGAUCCUGGCUUAAAACCGCUCACCAUCUCUUACGACCCGACCACCUGCCUCCACGUCUGGAAUAACGGGUACUCUUUCCUGGUGGAAUUUGAAGAUUCUACAGAUAAGUCAGAGGAAGUGAAGCUCCCUGAAGUUCACUGCUUUUGCCAGGUCACACAGCUGACUGCUGGAGAACUGAUGGAAAAUCAGCAGACCACACUCUGUGCAAGGCCUCUGAGCUCCUGGAGACUUCAGCAGGUGCUGGCCUCCUGCAAGGUCUGGAGGUAGAGUGUUUCCUGGGCGCCCCAGAUUUGUUUUCAUCAGCUGCACGUCAUGAAGAGCUACAGAAAUUCGUGGAUACUGUGCCAUCAGUUAAGCAUAAGGACACCCUUGUGGAAUUUGGGUCAUUUGAUCCUUCCUGCCUGAUGCCUGCCUGCCCAGAUUACUGGACCUACUCGGGGUCCCUGACUACCCCCCCACUCUCCGAGUCCGUCACCUGGAUCAUUAAGAAGCAGCCCGUAGAGGUUGAUCACGAUCAGGUACGUUCUUUCCACAUUUCUUUCUGAGGACCCGCUAGCCUGCCCCUUUGAAGCAAGGCUGGGCUCCAACUUUGGCAUCAGUUGUUAAGAUCUCGUAAUGCCAAUACAUGUUUAUUGAGAUGUGCUAACAUAUUUUCUCAAUUUGGCCAUCAAUUUGGAGAUAGUUCAAAUUAACCAGAGACAGGCGUUAAGACCUAGAAGAACAUAAGCUUUUUGCUUUCAUUUUUGACAGUAAUGUGUAUUUUGCUAUAUAUGCGUGGUGUAGAAUUGCUAUAAAAAUUAAGAUCUUUAAAUGGAAAAAAAGGCUGGAAAUGGAUGUGUUCGAACCAGUUUGAUAUUUAUUUAUUAUUGAAGUACUGUUGAUACGUAGUGUUACAUUAGUUGCAUGUGUACAACAUGGCGAUUUGACAACCCGGUAUGUUAUGCUGUGCUUACAAGCGUAGUAGUUCCCGUCUGUCACUUGACCAUACAAGUCUGGUACAAACCCACUGACAGUUUUCCCUGUGCUUUUUCCCUGUCAUCCCCAUGACUUAUUAAUUUCCGUACUGGAAGCCUUGUACCUCCUACUCCCCUUCACCCAUCUUCUCCUUCUAAUCCCCCCUCCACAGUAUUCCCCUUUCCUCUGCCAACUGUCAUACAGAGUUUGUUCUCUGUAUUUGUGUAAAAAGCCUUAAUUUUCUUAAGAGAUACUUACUGUGGAAUUUCGAGGUAAGGACAGAGCCCAACAAUGUCUACACAGAAAUUUUAUUCUAAGUCAGAAGUUUUGACUUUGAAGUUUUGGUAUUUGCUUUGCAUUUAGAAAUGAAAGGUUAAGUAGUGGUUACUAUGUCAACACACAGAACGUUUAAUUCAUAAAUGAACUAAACUGUAAUAAUAAUUGCUUUCACUUGUUUGUUUUGAAAUUUUAUUGAUUAAAAUUUUUUUCCAAAGACAAAA